AAAAAGACAAACUCUGGUUUCCGUGCCCAACCUUUAACCGUCAGUCUUAUUUGAAAAAAAUAUGAAAAAAAUUAAAAAGACAAGUCACGCAUAAAAUAUUAAUCAUGUUUUAUCAUCUAACAAUAAUGAAAAUACGAAUUAUAAAAAAAAUUUAUAUAACACGAACAGUCAAAGUUGGACAUAGAAACUCAGGGUUUACUUUUUU
Non-coding RNA from Oryza nivara, 205 nucleotides. The record is from Rfam. Lineage: Eukaryota; Viridiplantae; Streptophyta; Magnoliopsida; Poales; Poaceae.